This 465-nucleotide ribosomal RNA is filed under the name Vreelandella stevensii. Its description in RNAcentral is "partial 16S ribosomal RNA". It matches the Rfam family "Bacterial small subunit ribosomal RNA", at positions 338 to 795 of the family's 1533-position model. Lineage: Bacteria; Pseudomonadati; Pseudomonadota; Gammaproteobacteria; Oceanospirillales; Halomonadaceae. The record is from RNAcentral.
CCUACGGGGGGCUGCAGUGGGGAAUAUUGGACAAUGGGCGAAAGCCUGAUCCAGCCAUGCCGCGUGUGUGAAGAAGGCCUUCGGGUUGUAAAGCACUUUCAGUGGGGAAGAAAGCCUUGGGGCUAAUACCCUCGAGGAAGGACAUCACCCACAGAAGAAGCACCGGCUAACUCCGUGCCAGCAGCCGCGGUAAUACGGAGGGUGCGAGCGUUAAUCGGAAUUACUGGGCGUAAAGCGCGCGUAGGCGGUCUGAUAAGCCGGUUGUGAAAGCCCCGGGCUCAACCUGGGAACGGCAUCCGGAACUGUCAGGCUAGAGUGCAGGAGAGGAAGGUAGAAUUCCCGGUGUAGCGGUGAAAUGCGUAGAGAGCGGGAGGAAUACCAGUGGCGAAGGCGGCCUUCUGGACUGACACUGACGCUGAGGUGCGAAAGCGUGGGUAGCAAACAGGAUUAGAUACCCCGGUAGUC